Molecule: non-coding RNA, 21 nt
Filed under: Arabidopsis thaliana (thale cress)
Lineage: Eukaryota; Viridiplantae; Streptophyta; Magnoliopsida; Brassicales; Brassicaceae
Source: RNAcentral
UGUAGGGUGACGCAACAGUAC